RNAcentral lists this ribosomal RNA (170 nucleotides) under uncultured marine bacterium. RNAcentral's name for it is "partial 16S ribosomal RNA". It matches the Rfam family "Bacterial small subunit ribosomal RNA", at positions 338 to 525 of the family's 1533-position model. The record is from RNAcentral.
CCUACGGGAGGCAGCAGUGGGGAAUCUUGCACAAUGGGGGAAACCCUGAUGCAGCGAUGCCGCGUGAGUGAAGAAGGCCUUUGGGUUGUAAAGCUCUUUCGUCGGGGAAGAAAAUGACUGUACCCGAAUAAGAAGGUCCGGCUAACUUCGUGCCAGCAGCCGCGGUAAUA